CGCACGGGUGAGUAACGCGUGGAUAAUCUACCCUUAAGAUGGGGAUAACGGCUGGAAACGGUCGCUAAUACCGAAUACGCUCCCGAUUUUAUCGUUGGGGGGAAAGAUGGCCUCUGCUUGCAAGCUAUCGCUUAAGGAUGAGUCCGCGUCCCAUUAGCUAGUUGGCGGGGUAACGGCCCACCAAGGCGACGAUGGGUAGCCGGUCUGAGAGGAUGACCGGCCACACUGGAACUGGAACACGGUCCAG
RNAcentral lists this ribosomal RNA (247 nucleotides) under uncultured bacterium. RNAcentral's name for it is "partial 16S ribosomal RNA". It matches the Rfam family "Bacterial small subunit ribosomal RNA", at positions 99 to 334 of the family's 1533-position model. The record is from RNAcentral.